GAAACAUUGAACAACUUGUACCUUGAAUUUUAGCUCGACACGAAAUAUUAUGCAUGUAUAUAAAAGUGUAAAUAUGGAAUUAUCAGCUCAUGGUAUGUUAAUUAAUUGUUAAUAGUUAUAUGUUGUUAUUAAAAUAUCCAAUGUUUUUUUCGUGUGUAUUUUUAGCUUCAUACUCAACAAAGUACACAUGAGUGUACAUGUGUUCUGUGGAAUAUAACUUUUGUACAGCACACCAUAUCAUCAAGGUUCAAGUUACAUGUUAUUAACCAAAUAAUAUAAAAACAAGUUUUGCCCAUUUUCAGAAACUAUUACAUUUUGCAGAUACUUAUGAGUUCACUUGAGCAGCUCCCCUGAAGGUCUGGAGAAAAACCAAUCAAUCAGACACAAUAAAAUGUUAUACUUUAGAAAGUAUUCUCGAAAACUGUCUAACUGAAGACGAAACUGUUACAAUUUCAAAGCAAAUUAUCAAUUCAAUGUUUAGGGAAACAAGUACUUAGUGUAAGGCAUUCGAAUGUUGGAGGGACUUAACUCAAAUUACAUUCAAUCAAUCAAUCAUUUAAUCAUUCAAUAAAAUAGAUUAUGUUUAUCUAAUCAUUACUAAUCAUUAAAAUACAUUUUUUAUGGAGAACCGAUAAAAACAGAUUAGGCAUAUCACGGAAUUAUACCUUGCAAUCGAUGUCUAAGAUCUCUCGCAAUAACCACUUUUGUGUUUGAAGACAAUUUUAUGAAACUGUACAAAAUGCUAGCCAAUAUGUUGCCAUAUAAAUCACAUGAAAAUUAAAAAUAAUCGGAUAAUAUUUAGGUACUCCAUAUUUCAUUAUGAGGUAUUAAAAGUUUCGAACUUCUUUCAUUUUAAACAACUGCUUCUGGGUUAUCGGCGUUGUUAAAAUAUUUAAAAGAUUCGGUUUGCUUUGGUUCGAUUAGGAUCGAUUAAGAUUUGGGUUUGCACUUUCGGCCAAACCAUUUUGCGACUUCAUCUCAAUC
This 984-nucleotide long non-coding RNA is filed under the name Drosophila guanche. The record is from RNAcentral. Lineage: Eukaryota; Metazoa; Arthropoda; Insecta; Diptera; Drosophilidae.